ACCUAUGCCUGCAACACUAUGAGGAAAAAAUACGUUCUCCUCCUUUGCCUCCUCCUGAUGCCCCUUCCUCAUCCAGGAGAGUUUCAACGUGAUUAUUUUCAAAUGUGUACUGGUUUGGGAGGUGCUUGUACCCUCUUCCUAUGCCUUCCGCCCCUGCGCCGUAUUCUACGAUGUAACAUAUUUAUGGUAUGCUGCAAAAGAAGGUCGAAUGGAUGAAAAUGAUAAUACCACUGAUCAGGGGGAAAGUUGAACCUCUCCGUUAUAUGGGAAGACAUUCUGUCUCAUCUUGAAGGAUCAUCAUCUUCUGCUUGCUGACAGCAAGACUGCUAUGAGCAUACUGUCUUUUCAACUCUAGAAGACACACCGAAACAAUCUUACAUUGUGCUCAGAUGUG
Anolis sagrei ordinatus is the source of this 394-nucleotide non-coding RNA. The record is from RefSeq and is a predicted model, not a curated record. NCBI's taxonomy places the organism in Eukaryota, Metazoa, Chordata, Lepidosauria, Squamata, Anolidae.